UGAAAUCAAUGCAACAAUUGUCAGGCCUCUUCCUUACGGAGUAAAACUUCAUGCCAUUAUAGAUGCUUGCCACAGCGGAACUGUUUUAGACCUCCCCUUCCUUUGUAGAAUGAGCAGGAGCGGGCAAUAUGUAUGGGAAGACCAUCGUCCCCGUUCUGGUGUCUGGAAAGGAACUAAUGGUGGUGAAGUUUUCUCUUUUAGUGGUUGUGAUGAUGAUCAAACUUCAGCUGAUACAUCUGCUCUUUCAAAA
This 250-nucleotide unclassified non-coding RNA is filed under the name Hevea brasiliensis (rubber tree). The record is from RNAcentral. Lineage: Eukaryota; Viridiplantae; Streptophyta; Magnoliopsida; Malpighiales; Euphorbiaceae.